RNAcentral lists this ribosomal RNA (440 nucleotides) under uncultured bacterium. RNAcentral's name for it is "partial 16S ribosomal RNA". It matches the Rfam family "Bacterial small subunit ribosomal RNA", at positions 338 to 795 of the family's 1533-position model. The record is from RNAcentral.
CCUACGGGCGGCAGCAGUGGGGGAUAUUGCACAAUGGGGGAAACCCUGAUGCAGCGACGCCGCGUGUGGGAAGACGGUCCUCUGGAUUGUAAACCACUGUCCCCAGGGACGAAGAUGACGGUACCUGGGGAGGAAGCUCCGGCUAACUACGUGCCAGCAGCCGCGGUAAUACGUAGGGAGCGAGCGUUGUCCGGAAUUACUGGGGGAAAAGGGAGCGUAGGCGGGACUGCAAGUUGGGUGUCAAAUCUACCGGCUCAACCGGUAGCCGCACUCAAAACUGCAGUUCUUGAGUGAAGUAGAGGCAGGCGGAAUUCCUAGUGUAGCGGUGAAAUGCGUAGAUAUUAGGAGGAACACCAGUGGCGAAGGCGGCCUGCUGGGCUUUGACUGACGCUGAGGCUCGAAAGUGUGGGGAGCAAACAGGAUUAGAUACCCCAGUAGUC